GUUAUAGGGUCAAGCGAACAAGUGCAUGUGGUGGAUGCCUUGGCGAUCACAGGCGAUGAAGGACGCGGUAGCCUGCGAAAAGCUACGGGGAGCUGGCAAACGAGCUUUGAUCCGUAGAUGUCCGAAUGGGGGAAACCCACUCCUUUUGGAGUAUCCAUGGCUGAAUACAUAGGCCAUGCGAAGCGAACGCGGUGAACUGAAACAUCUAAGUAACCGCAGGAAAAGAAAUCAACCGAGAUUCCCAAAGUAGUGGCGAGCGAAAUGGGAUGAGCCUUGCACUCUUUAUUUGUAUUGUUAGCCGAACGCUCUGGAAAGUGCGGCCAUAGCAGGUGAUAGCCCUGUAGGCGAAAACAGUAUGAAAGAACUAGGUGUGCGACAAGUAGGGCGGGACACGUGAAAUCCUGUCUGAAGAUGGGGGACCAUCCUCCAAGGCUAAAUACUCGUGAUCGACCGAUAGUGAACCAGUACCGUGAGGGAAAGGCGAAAAGAACCCCGGGAGGGGAGUGAAAUAGAUCCUGAAACCGCAUGCAUACAAACAGUCGGAGCCUCGUAAGGGGUGACGGCGUACCUUUUGUAUAAUGGGUCAGCGACUUACGUUCAGUAGCAAGCUUAACCGUAUAGGGCAGGCGUAGCGAAAGCGAGUCCGAAUAGGGCGUUCAGUUGCUGGGCGUAGACCCGAAACCAGGUGAUCUAUCCAUGGCCAGGAUGAAGGUGCGGUAACACGUACUGGAGGUCCGAACCCACUAACGUUGAAAAGUUAGGGGAUGAGCUGUGGAUAGGGGUGAAAGGCUAAACAAACCCUGGAAAUAGCUGGUUCUCUCCGAAAACUAUUUAGGUAGUGCCUCGUGUCUCACCUUCGGGG
This 862-nucleotide ribosomal RNA is filed under the name Burkholderia contaminans LMG 23361. RNAcentral describes it as "bacterial LSU rRNA". It matches the Rfam family "Bacterial large subunit ribosomal RNA", at positions 1 to 900 of the family's 2925-position model. Lineage: Bacteria; Pseudomonadati; Pseudomonadota; Betaproteobacteria; Burkholderiales; Burkholderiaceae. The record is from RNAcentral.